Molecule: small nucleolar RNA, 107 nt
Filed under: Oryza longistaminata (longstamen rice)
Lineage: Eukaryota; Viridiplantae; Streptophyta; Magnoliopsida; Poales; Poaceae
Description: snoRNA snoR71
Rfam family: Plant small nucleolar RNA R71
About the family: R71 is a member of the C/D box family of snoRNAs containing the C (UGAUGA) and D (CUGA) box motifs.
Source: RNAcentral
AUCCCAUGAUGAGGAUAGGCGGCCACAUACUCCUGCAGUCGUUCCCAUGCUUCAGGAAUGGACUUGUCCCUUGUCUGCUGGAAACGGGAAAUUCUUCUACGAAGGGC